This 445-nucleotide ribosomal RNA is filed under the name Linatella caudata. Its description in RNAcentral is "partial 12S ribosomal RNA". It matches the Rfam family "Microsporidia small subunit ribosomal RNA", at positions 638 to 1218 of the family's 1311-position model. Lineage: Eukaryota; Metazoa; Mollusca; Gastropoda; Littorinimorpha; Cymatiidae. The record is from RNAcentral.
UUCAAAGCUUCAAACUGGGAUUAGAUACCCCACUAUUCUUGGAUGUAAAUUAACGUAAGUUUACCGGAGUACUAUGAAUCUUUAAACAAAUUUAAAACUCAAAGGGCUUGGCGGUGUUUUAGACCUCUCAGGGGAACCUGUCUCAUAAUCGACAAUCCACGUUAAACCUAACCUUUAUUUGCUAAUUCAGUUUGUAUACCGUCGUCGUCAGGUAACUUUUAAAAAAUAAGAAGUUAGCUAUAAAAUAAUUCUAAGUUUUUACGUCAGAUCAAGGUGCAAUUAAUAUAAAGGUGAGGAUGGGUUACAAUUAUUAAUUAUAAAUACGGAAAAAUAGUUGAAAUAUUAUUUCAUGAAGGAGGACUUGAAAGUAAAAAAGGUUAUAUAAAUAUUUUGAAUAAGGCUCUGAAGCGUGCACACACCGCCCGUCACCCUCUGCAGUCAAAUA